UACGUAGGGUCCAAGCGUUGUCCGGAUUUAUUGGGCGUAAAGAGCUCGUAGGCGGCUCGGUAAGUCGGAUGUGAAAACUCAGGGCUCAACCCGGAGACGCCAUCCGAUACUGCUGUGACUUGAGUCUGGUAGGGGAACACGGAAUACCUGGUGUAGCGGUGAAAUGCGCAGAUAUCAGGUGGAACACCGAUGGCGAAGGCAGUGUUCUGGGCCAGUACUGACGCUGAGGAGCGAAAGCGUGGGGAGCAAACAGG
RNAcentral lists this ribosomal RNA (254 nucleotides) under uncultured bacterium. RNAcentral describes it as "partial 16S ribosomal RNA". It matches the Rfam family "Bacterial small subunit ribosomal RNA", at positions 524 to 776 of the family's 1533-position model. The record is from RNAcentral.